Molecule: long non-coding RNA, 226 nt
Filed under: Rattus norvegicus (Norway rat)
Lineage: Eukaryota; Metazoa; Chordata; Mammalia; Rodentia; Muridae
Description: long non-coding RNA NONRATT033451
Source: RNAcentral
CUUUGAAAUAUCUAUGGGUCAUAGAACCAAAUACAACGGCAAACUCCGAAUCUGCGCACUUAUCUGACCUGCUCUUGGCCAUUGACCAGCUCCUCCAUUCCUGUACUCUUCACUAAAUCAUGUGACUUACUUCUGCAUGCUCCAGUUAAGCAUCUAACAUUGGUCGAACAUUUUGUGAGUGAUUGCUGUCUUCUUGCUGUUGUGAUCGUCUUUUCCAAACAUGAGU